UACGGCCAUAUUAUAUUGAAACACUGGUUCUUGUAUGAUCACUGAAGUUAAGCAAUGUUGAGCCUGAUCAGUACCUAGGUGGGUGACCACUUGAGAAUAUCAGGUAC
This is a non-coding RNA of Acanthosepion pharaonis, 107 nucleotides long. Lineage: Eukaryota; Metazoa; Mollusca; Cephalopoda; Sepiida; Sepiidae. The record is from the annotation of a GenBank genome assembly.